GCGUACUGUUGCUGGCCGGCGAACUGUUCGUCUCCCAAUCUCCCCCAAAGUCCGAUCGCGUAUCAUCAGGUUCUAUUAUAUUCAAAUAUUAGGGUUACAUUUAUAUUCAAAUAUAAAUUCUUGAAUUGUCAUAUUUUUGCAAGGUUAUGUUCUUGGCUCUGAAUCAAGCAUCAGGUCUUGCUUCUUCAAGUUUCUAGAUAUUCCAUUUUUAACCUCAAGUAUAUAUCUCUAACGGGGAUAA
RNAcentral lists this long non-coding RNA (241 nucleotides) under Helianthus annuus (common sunflower). Lineage: Eukaryota; Viridiplantae; Streptophyta; Magnoliopsida; Asterales; Asteraceae. The record is from RNAcentral.